Non-coding RNA from Branchiostoma floridae (Florida lancelet), 94 nucleotides. Lineage: Eukaryota; Metazoa; Chordata; Leptocardii; Amphioxiformes; Branchiostomatidae. The record is from Rfam.
GUUUGCCUGUGUGUGAAUGGUGUUCAGCACCAGGGACAGGUGUGUUUGCCUGUGUGUGGAUGGUGUUCAGCACCAGGGACAGGUGUGUUUGCCU